GUGGGGAAUAUUGCACAAUGGGCGCAAGCCUGAUGCAGCAACGCCGCGUGAGGGACGACGGCCUUCGGGUUGUAAACCUCUUUUAGCAGGGAAGAAGCGAAAGUGACGGUACCUGCAGAAAAAGCACCGGCUAACUACGUGCCAGCAGCCGCGGUAAUACGUAGGGUGCAAGCGUUGUCCGGAAUUAUUGGGCGUAAAGAGCUCGUAGGCGGUUUGUCGCGUCUGCUGUGAAAACCCGAGGCUCAACCUCGGGCCUGCAGUGGGUACGGGCAGACUAGAGUGCGGGAGGGGAGAUUGGAAGUCCUGGUGUAGCGGUGGAAUGCGCAGAUAUCAGGAGGAACACCGAUGGCGAAGGCAGAUCUCUGGGCCGUAACUGACGCUGAGGAGCGAAAGCGUGGGGAGCGAACAGGAUUAGAUACCCCAGUAGUCC
RNAcentral lists this ribosomal RNA (430 nucleotides) under uncultured bacterium. Its description in RNAcentral is "bacterial SSU rRNA". It matches the Rfam family "Bacterial small subunit ribosomal RNA", at positions 354 to 796 of the family's 1533-position model. The record is from RNAcentral.